CGUGAGGCGGAGCAAAACACAAAACACAGUCUCAGUUCAGAUUGUAGGCUGAAACUCGCCUAUAUGAAGUCGGAAUUGCUAGUAAUCGCGGAUCAGCAUGCCGCGGUGAAUACGUUCCCGGGCCUUGUACACACCGCCCGUCACACCAUGAGAGUCGAUAACACCCGAAGCCUGUAGUCCAACAGCAAUGAGGACGCAGUCGAAGGUGGGAUUGAUAAUUAGGGUGAAGUCGUAACAAGGUAAC
This 244-nucleotide ribosomal RNA is filed under the name uncultured bacterium. RNAcentral describes it as "partial 16S ribosomal RNA". It matches the Rfam family "Bacterial small subunit ribosomal RNA", at positions 1256 to 1500 of the family's 1533-position model. The record is from RNAcentral.